GGAAAUAGCAAUAAAGAGGCUUUCAAGAGCUUCUAGUCAAGGGUAUGAGGAAUUUAUAAAUGAAGUGAUGGUGAUUUCCAAACUACAACAUAGAAAUCUUGUACAGCUUCUCGGUUGUUGCAUCGAAGAAGAAGAGAAGAUGCUAAUAUACGAGUACAUGCCCAACCUAAGUUUGGAUGCAUUCAUCUUUGGUUAGAUAUGUUUGCUCUAAAUUUUAAGAUUUCUCUAUUCAUUUUAGUUUAAUUAAUUUGCUUUAGAAUAAAU
This 264-nucleotide unclassified non-coding RNA is filed under the name Hevea brasiliensis (rubber tree). Lineage: Eukaryota; Viridiplantae; Streptophyta; Magnoliopsida; Malpighiales; Euphorbiaceae. The record is from RNAcentral.